UACGGAGGGCGCAAGCGUUGUUCGGACUCACUGGGCGUAAAGCGCGUGUCGGCGGCUUGGCAAGUCGGGUGUGAAAGCCCGGGGCCUAACCCCGGAACUGCAUUCGAAACUGCCUCGCUCGAGUCCCGGAGAGGAUGGUGGAAUUCCCGGUGUAGUGGUGAAAUACGUAGAUAUCGGGAGGAACACCAGCGGCGAAGGCGGCCAUCUGGACGGUGACUGACGCUGAGACGCGAAAGCGUGGGGAGCAAAUAGG
RNAcentral lists this ribosomal RNA (253 nucleotides) under uncultured bacterium. Its description in RNAcentral is "partial 16S ribosomal RNA". It matches the Rfam family "Bacterial small subunit ribosomal RNA", at positions 524 to 776 of the family's 1533-position model. The record is from RNAcentral.